CCCCUCAUUACUUGGCCUCCCAUAACUAGGCCUCCUCGGUGGCUCCUCCACCUCCGGACUCUCGUAGCUCGGCCUCCCAUACUGUGGCUUCCUGGGGGACCCUUCCCCACCAUAACCAUACCCGCCACCUUGUUCCUCUCCGAAGCUAGGUUUCCGACCGUACCCAGAUCCAUAUUCAGAACUCGGUGCUUCGUACUCAGGCCUCCGACCAUACCCAGAUCCAUACUCCGAACUGGGCUGCUCGAACUCGGGCCUCCGACCAUACCCAGAUCCAUACUCCGAACUAGGUUGCUCGUAUUCAGGCUUCCGACCGUACCCAGAUCCAUAUUCCGUGCUAGGCUGUUCGUAUUCAGGCUUCCGACCGUACCCAGAUCCAUAUUCCGAGCUAGGCUGUUCGUAUUCAGGCUUCCGACCGUACCCAGAUCCAUAUUCCGAGCUAGGCUGUUCGUAUUCAGGCUUCCGACCGUAGCCAGAUCCAUAUUCCGAGCUAGGCUGUUCGCAUUCAGGCUUCCGACCGUACCCGGAUCCGUACUCCGAACUGGGUUCCUCGUAAUCAGGCUUCCGCCCAUGCCCAGAUCCAUACUCACCCUCCCCACCAAAACUCGACGGCGGCUUCGGCUGAUACCCAUACUCACCACCAUCACCACUGCCUCCGAACCCUCCUUGGCCAGGAGGUGGUCCGGCGUAACCAAGGACCGGACGAGGCUUGGGACGAGCAUAGCUCUUGUAUUCAUUCUCAAGAGCUUCAUCACC
This 753-nucleotide long non-coding RNA is filed under the name Vitis vinifera (wine grape). Its description in RNAcentral is "long non-coding RNA (VVIN_LNC004905)". The record is from RNAcentral. Lineage: Eukaryota; Viridiplantae; Streptophyta; Magnoliopsida; Vitales; Vitaceae.